AUUGAACGCUGGCGGCAGGCCUAACACAUGCAAGUCGAGCGGAUGAAGGGAGCUUGCUCCUGGAUUCAGCGGCGGACGGGUGAGUAAUGCCUAGGAAUCUGCCUGGUAGUGGGGGAUAACGUCCGGAAACGGGCGCUAAUACCGCAUACGUCCUGAGGGAGAAAGUGGGGGGUCUUCGGACCUCACGCUCUCAGAUGAGCCUAGGUCGGAUUAGCUAGUUGGUGGGGUAAAGGCCUACCAAGGCGACGAUCCGUAACUGGUCUGAGAGGAUGAUCAGUCACACUGGAACUGAGACACGGUCCAGACUCCUAAGGGAGGCAGCAGUGGGGAAUAUUGGACAAUGGGCGAAAGCCUGAUCCAGCCAUGCCGCGUGUGUGAAGAAGGUCUUCGGAUUGUAAAGCACUUUAAGUUGGGAGGAAGGGCAGUAAGUUAAUACCUUGCUGUUUUGACGUUACCAACAGAAUAAGCACCGGCUAACUUCGUG
Molecule: ribosomal RNA, 484 nt
Filed under: uncultured bacterium
Lineage: Bacteria
Description: partial 16S ribosomal RNA
Rfam family: Bacterial small subunit ribosomal RNA
Source: RNAcentral